RNAcentral lists this long non-coding RNA (325 nucleotides) under Rattus norvegicus (Norway rat). RNAcentral describes it as "long non-coding RNA NONRATT011981". Lineage: Eukaryota; Metazoa; Chordata; Mammalia; Rodentia; Muridae. The record is from RNAcentral.
ACUUGGUGAGCCCAAAAUGUUUCCGCUACUUCAAGGGAAAAAACUACUGUGCAUUACGACUCUGAAAAUGAGCACAGCCAAGUAUAAUGAAGGUUUAUGCUAUAACCUUUGCAUCGGUUUGCCCAAAUUAUGUGUGAUGUUUUACCUUCUUGCUUUUUUUUCUUACAUGUGUGUGUGCACCACAUGCAUGCAGGAGCCUGUGAAAGCCAGACAAGGACGGGCAUUAGAUCCCCUGGAACUGGAGUGUGAGCCACCAUGUGGGUGCUGGGGACUGAACUCUACAAGAGCACUAAGUGCCCUUAGGGUCCCAUCCAGACCAACCCAC